This is a long non-coding RNA of Serinus canaria (Common canary), 327 nucleotides long. RefSeq lists it as uncharacterized. NCBI's taxonomy places the organism in Eukaryota, Metazoa, Chordata, Aves, Passeriformes, Fringillidae. The transcript has 2 exons. The record is from RefSeq and is a predicted model, not a curated record.
CAUGCACGCUGACCUAGGAGAUAAUUAACAGGAACAGAAAACAGCGUGAUCAAAAGCCCCUGGUUCCUCUCUGCUGCAUUGUAUCAUCCCUUCUGGGUGUCACAGAAUGCAGUAUUAUCAACCAGUAUUAAGUAUAAAGCCUUUCAUUUAUCUCAUCGGAUGUCCGAAGCCCAGCAGCACCACUCCAGAGAGGCGACCCCUGUGGUGAUCGGGGACUCCACAGACCCCGGUCCCGGUCCCAACCCGCCAGCCGGAGCCGGCCCGUGUUUCAGCACACGGACACUCGAGCUGGAGCACAGAGCGGAACAGAGAUCAUCGCCAGCAUGA